UACGUAGGGUGCGAGCGUUGUCCGGAAUUAUUGGGCGUAAAGAGCUUGUAGGCGGUUUGUCGCGUCUGCUGUGAAAAUCCGGGGCUCAACCCCGGACUUGCAGUGGGUACGGGGCAGACUAGAGUGUGGUAGGGGAGACUGGAAGUUCCUGGUGUAGCGGUGAAAUGCGCAGAUAUCAGGAGGAACACCGAUGGCGAAGGCAGGUCUCUGGGCCACUACUGACGCUGAGAAGCGAAAGCAUGGGGAGCGAACAGGA
Molecule: ribosomal RNA, 256 nt
Filed under: uncultured bacterium
Lineage: Bacteria
Description: partial 16S ribosomal RNA
Rfam family: Bacterial small subunit ribosomal RNA
Source: RNAcentral